AACAAAGCAGUGAAGAUACUAUGAUUUUGGUCCAAAAGGAGUAGCUGCACUUAUGUGAGAAUGAAAUACCAUUUUGAUAUUUUGACUCAAUUUGUGGUUCUAAUUUCAACAAUUCACUCUUCAGAAUAUAAAACUGGACUGUGUGAAAUAGAGGCAGAGAGAGGGAGAUAGAGUUGCAGGCAUGCUGUAGAUAAGAGAAGAGAGAGGGAGAUAGAGUCUUCUUAUUUUGAAAUGAAGCAGAGGAAGCUAAUUAUAUUCUGAAAUAGUGGGAAUUGCAGAAAAGUCAGAGAAGAAACUGAGGAUAACCAUGUGCAUGGAAAAUCAUCAAAGAGAGGGGCAACAAUUUUUAACUUCUUCACAAUGA
This 364-nucleotide long non-coding RNA is filed under the name Rosa chinensis. Its description in RNAcentral is "sRNA RchiOBHm_Chr7g0232331". Lineage: Eukaryota; Viridiplantae; Streptophyta; Magnoliopsida; Rosales; Rosaceae. The record is from RNAcentral.